UGGGGAAUAUUGCACAAUGGAGGGAACUCUGAUGCAGCGACGCCGCGUGAACGAAGAAGGCUUUCGAGUCGUAAAGUUCUUUUAUAUGGGAAGAUAAUGACGGUACCAUAAGAAAAAGCCCCGGCUAACUACGUGCCAGCAGCCGCGGUAAUACGUAGGGGGCUAGCGUUGUCCGGAAUCACUGGGCGUAAAGGGUUCGCAGGCGGAAAUGCAAGUCAGGUGUAAAAGGCAGUAGCUUAACUACUGUAAGCAUUUGAAACUGCAUAUCUUGAGAAGAGUAGAGGUAAGUGGAAUUUUUAGUGUAGCGGUGAAAUGCGUAGAUAUUAAAAAGAAUACCGGAGGCGAAGGCGACUUACUGGGCUCAUUCUGACGCUGAGGAACGAAAGCGUGGGUAGCAAACAGGA
This 404-nucleotide ribosomal RNA is filed under the name Fusobacteriota bacterium. Its description in RNAcentral is "Fusobacteria bacterium partial 16S ribosomal RNA". It matches the Rfam family "Bacterial small subunit ribosomal RNA", at positions 355 to 777 of the family's 1533-position model. The record is from RNAcentral. Lineage: Bacteria; Fusobacteriati; Fusobacteriota.